UACGUAGGGUGCAAGCGUUGUCCGGAAUUAUUGGGCGUAAAGAGCUCGUAGGCGGCUCGUUGCGUCGGCUGUGAAAACCCGCAGCUCAACUGUGGGCCUGCAGCUGAUACGGGCGGGCUGGAGUUCGGUAGGGGAGACUGGAAUUCCUGGUGUAGCGGUGGAAUGCGCAGAUAUCAGGAGGAACACCGGUGGCGAAGGCGGGUCUCUGGGCAGUAACUGACGCUGAGGAGCGAAAGCGUGGGGAGCGAACAGG
Molecule: ribosomal RNA, 253 nt
Filed under: uncultured bacterium
Lineage: Bacteria
Description: partial 16S ribosomal RNA
Rfam family: Bacterial small subunit ribosomal RNA
Source: RNAcentral